This 21-nucleotide non-coding RNA is filed under the name Caenorhabditis elegans. Lineage: Eukaryota; Metazoa; Nematoda; Chromadorea; Rhabditida; Rhabditidae. The record is from RNAcentral.
UAAACGAUUUGGCUUUUGUAC